AUAUUAGUUGAAUUAUUUUUUUUAUUUUCGUUAAAAUUAUAAACCAGAGAAUUAUCUGCUACCGCGCCGGUGGUGGUUUCUCCUCCUCCCCUGCUGUCAUCCCAAUUGCCCCUAACAUCUCUUACUCCGCCGUCGCUGGUGGCGAACCAGCUUUUGCGCACUCUGGUCCGGCGGUUACAGCCUUCUCUGUUGUCUUUACCCGGUAAACGCCUCUACAAUAACGAUAUCGUCCUCCUCCAAUCCCUCUUUGUCAGCGACGAACUGAUUUGCGCUACGGAGACGAACAAUACACCGCCGGUAACCUGCUGGAGAACGGAGAAUAGCACUGAAGAGUUACCCAACGAUAAUCUCAGAAUGGGUAAAAUCACAUCCGAGUUCGGGUUUUCAUGUGGGAUUGUUGAGGAAGUAACUCAAUGGUUGAAACCACAGAAAGACAAUUUGGGAACUUUUCAAUGGUGAACAUCGAAGCUAGGGGAAACCAUGUUAAUGGGGUUAACUCAGAUGGUGAGUUAGUUUACAGAGGAGAUAGCAUAUCAACUUGAUGUUUAUACACUUAAAAUUACAAUAUAACUACCAUUUAUAAAUUAAACAUGUUCAGUGGAUGGUUUGUAAAGGGAAAAUGUGUUUAUAUUUAGGGGAACUCACCACCAUGAGACUAUUUGAUCAUCUCCUUAGAUUUGAUGGGAAUAUAUAUUUAGAUACAUCCAACGGUUAAUAUCACACUUCAGCAGUACCCUCUCAAAGGCAAAAGUGCGGACAAUCGCCACUGUUGAACGUUUGAUUGUUGAAGAAUAAGAAUCUGGAUAAGAUUGAUAGCACCUCUCUCAUGCCAAACCAUAAAAAUCUAUCCAACCCACCGUUUUUGGUUCUCAACACAAAGAAAAGGUUAUGGCUACCACAAUCAAAUCAAAGAAUUUUAUUGUUUUAUAUUGUAUAAUAUUCAAAAUUUAUAUAAAAAAAAACUCAAUUCAACCUCUCUCG
This 981-nucleotide long non-coding RNA is filed under the name Gossypium barbadense (sea-island cotton). RNAcentral describes it as "long non-coding RNA (GBAR_LNC010181)". Lineage: Eukaryota; Viridiplantae; Streptophyta; Magnoliopsida; Malvales; Malvaceae. The record is from RNAcentral.